Molecule: ribosomal RNA, 94 nt
Filed under: Staphylococcus agnetis
Lineage: Bacteria; Bacillati; Bacillota; Bacilli; Caryophanales; Staphylococcaceae
Source: RNAcentral
GCCACACCUGUUCCCAUGCCGAACACAGAAGUUAAGCUCUUUAGCGCCGAUGGUAGUCGGACUUACGUUCCGCGAGAGUAGGACGUUGCCAAGC